GAAAUAGACAUGGGAUAAGCAAAGCAGACAGAUAGCUCUUCAUGUGGCCUCUUUCUUUUGAACUAUAUCGAAUACUGGACAGGGGAUGAACUGUCUGACAGUUUUACCCAGGAUGACAUGUCACACUUUAG
Long non-coding RNA from Zea mays, 131 nucleotides. RefSeq lists it as uncharacterized. Lineage: Eukaryota; Viridiplantae; Streptophyta; Magnoliopsida; Poales; Poaceae. The record is from RefSeq and is a predicted model, not a curated record. The transcript has 3 exons.